GCUGGGUAUGGUGGCUCGCACCUGUAAUCCCAGCACUUUGGGAGGCUGAGGUGGGGGGAUCACUUGAGCCCAGGAGUUCAAGACCAGCCUGGGCAACAUAGUGAGACCCCAUCUCUA
Molecule: non-coding RNA, 117 nt
Organism: Nomascus leucogenys (northern white-cheeked gibbon)
Lineage: Eukaryota; Metazoa; Chordata; Mammalia; Primates; Hylobatidae
Rfam family: Metazoan signal recognition particle RNA
About the family: The signal recognition particle (SRP) is a universally conserved ribonucleoprotein. It is involved in the co-translational targeting of proteins to membranes. The eukaryotic SRP consists of a 300-nucleotide 7S RNA and six proteins: SRPs 72, 68, 54, 19, 14, and 9.
Source: Rfam